GAACGCUGGCGGCAGGCUACACAUGCAGUCGCAGUCGGAAGCUUGGCCUCGGCUUAGUGGAGACUGGCGCACGGGUGAGUAACGCGUGGGAACCUACCCUGGGGUGGGGAAUAACCGCUGGAAACGGCGGCUAAUACCGCAUACGCCUUUAGGGGGGAAAGCCUUAGGGCGCCCUGGGAUGGGCCCGCGUUGGAUUAGCUUGUUGGUGUGGUAACGGCGCACCAAGGCAUCGAUCCAUAGCUGGUCUGAGAGGAUGAUCAGCCACACUGGGACUGAGACACGGCCCAGACUCCUACGGGAGGCAGCAGUGGGGAAUAUUGGGCAAUGGGCGCAAGCCUGAUCCAGCCAUGCCGCGUGAGUGAAGAAGGCCUUAGGGUUGUAAAGCUCUUUCGCCCGCGAAGAUUAUGACGGUAGCGGGAAAAGAAGCCCCGGGUAACUCCGUGCCAGCAGCCGCGGUAAUACGGAGGGGGC
RNAcentral lists this ribosomal RNA (471 nucleotides) under uncultured Alphaproteobacteria bacterium. RNAcentral's name for it is "bacterial SSU rRNA". It matches the Rfam family "Bacterial small subunit ribosomal RNA", at positions 31 to 535 of the family's 1533-position model. Lineage: Bacteria; Pseudomonadati; Pseudomonadota; Alphaproteobacteria. The record is from RNAcentral.